Molecule: ribosomal RNA, 496 nt
Filed under: uncultured bacterium
Lineage: Bacteria
Description: partial 16S ribosomal RNA
Rfam family: Bacterial small subunit ribosomal RNA
Source: RNAcentral
AUGAACGCUGGCGGCGUGCCUAAUACAUGCAAGCCGAGCGAACAGAUGAGGAGCUUGCUCCUCUGACGUUAGCGGCGGACGGGUGAGUAACACGUGGAUAACCUACCUAUAAGACUGGGAUAACUUCGGGAAACCGGAGCUAAUACCGGAUAAUAUAUUGAACCGCAUGGUUCAAUAGUGAAAGACGGUUUUGCUGUCACUUAUAGAUGGAUCCGCGCCGCAUUAGCUAGUUGGUAAGGUAACGGCUUACCAAGGCAACGAUGCGUAGCCGACCUGAGAGGGUGAUCGGCCACACUGGAACUGAGACACGGUCCAGACUCCUACGGGAGGCAGCAGUAGGGAAUCUUCCGCAAUGGGCGAAAGCCUGACGGAGCAACGCCGCGUGAGUGAUGAAGGUCUUCGGAUCGUAAAACUCUGUUAUUAGGGAAGAACAAAUGUGUAAGUAACUAUGCACGUCUUGACGGUACCUAAUCAGAAAGCCACGGCUAACUACGUG